GGAUUUCAUAAUUCUAUUGUGGUCUACUGCUCCAGAGAAGAGUAUCUUUUGGAGUUGUGAACAACAUCAUAUGAAAGCUGAACCUGAGUUUCUCAGGCUGAGAAAAAGGUUUCUACAUCUGAAAAUGACCCCGCAUUUUGCACAUAAAAGAAAAAACUCUGCAGAGGUAGUGGUUUCCAUCACCAAUUCAACGUCUGUUUUUCUCUCAGGUACAUCUAAAAUGUAGAUAAGCUCAACACUAGAUACUUACUAUGAAGAUACUUACUAUGAAGAUGAAGAGGUAUCUGGUGUUGCAUGUCCCCAGGCCCAGAUCAGAAAUAAUAUAAAUAAAAAAUUUUACUAGUUUCCUG
Molecule: long non-coding RNA, 350 nt
Filed under: Gallus gallus (chicken)
Lineage: Eukaryota; Metazoa; Chordata; Aves; Galliformes; Phasianidae
Source: RNAcentral